GAUGAACGCUGGCGGCGUGCCUAAUACAUGCAAGUCGAGCGAAAAGACGAGGAGCUUGCGCGUUUGACGUUAGCGGCGGGGGUGAGAGUAACAUGUGGAUAACGUACUUAUAUGUCUGGGAAAAUUUCGGGAAAGCGGAGCUAAUCGCGGAUAAUAUAUUGAACCGCAUGGUUCAAUAGAGAAAGUCGGUUUUGCUGUCAGUUCUCGAUGGAUCUGGGCCGCAUUGGGUGGUUGGGAAGGUAACGGCCUUCCAAGGGUACGAUGCGUAGCCGAAUGGAGAGGGUGAUCGGCCACACGAGAGGGUAGACACGGUCCAUAGUACUACGAGACGCAGCAGUAGGGAAUGGUCGGCAAUAGGCGAAAGCUUGACGGAGCAACGCGGCGUGAGUGAUGAAGGUCUUCGGAUCGUAAAGAUCUGUUAUUAGGUAAAAACAAAUGUGUAAGGAACUAUACACGUCGUGACGGUACCGGAUCAGAAAGCAACGGCUAACUACGUG
This 497-nucleotide ribosomal RNA is filed under the name uncultured bacterium. Its description in RNAcentral is "partial 16S ribosomal RNA". It matches the Rfam family "Bacterial small subunit ribosomal RNA", at positions 28 to 507 of the family's 1533-position model. The record is from RNAcentral.